This 240-nucleotide unclassified non-coding RNA is filed under the name soil metagenome. Its description in RNAcentral is "partial contains 5.8S ribosomal RNA, internal transcribed spacer 2, and large subunit ribosomal RNA". The record is from RNAcentral.
AACCUAGCACACCUGCGGUGUGUACCUGCGGAAGGAUCAUUACAACAAGGUUCCCUGGCCCUCGAAGCUUCGGCGGAGGGGCGCUACAGCCUGACUUUAUACCCACCCUUUGCCUAUGUGUACCCCUAUUGCUUCCCUCGGCGGGUUCGCCCGCCGACAGGAACCAACUAAACCCUUUGCAUUAUACAUUUAACACUUCCGAUACAAAACUAAAUUAUUACAACUUUCAGCAACGGAUCU